This 496-nucleotide ribosomal RNA is filed under the name uncultured bacterium. RNAcentral's name for it is "partial 16S ribosomal RNA". It matches the Rfam family "Bacterial small subunit ribosomal RNA", at positions 29 to 507 of the family's 1533-position model. The record is from RNAcentral.
AUGAACGCUGGCGGCGUGCCUAAUACAUGCAAGUCGAGCGAACAGACGAGGAGCUUGCUCCUCUGACGUUAGCGGCGGACGGGUGAGUAACACGUGGAUAACCUACCUAUAAGACUGGGAUAACUUCGGGAAACCGGAGCUAAUACCGGAUAAUAUAUUGAACCGCAUGGUUCAAUAGUGAAAGACGGUUUUGCUGUCACUUAUAGAUGGAUCCGCGCCGCAUUAGCUAGUUGGUAAGGUAACGGCUUACCAAGGCAACGAUGCGUAGCCGACCUGAGAGGGUGAUCGGCCACACUGGAACUGAGACACGGUCCAGACUCCUACGGGAGGCAGCAGUAGGGAAUCUUCCGCAAUGGGCGAAAGCCUGACGGAGCAACGCCGCGUGAGUGAUGAAGGUCUUCGGAUCGUAAAACUCUGUUGUUAGGGAAGAACAAAUGUGUAAGUAACUAUGCACGUCUUGACGGUACCUAAUCAGAAAGCCACGGCUAACUACGUG